This 440-nucleotide ribosomal RNA is filed under the name uncultured bacterium. RNAcentral describes it as "bacterial SSU rRNA". It matches the Rfam family "Bacterial small subunit ribosomal RNA", at positions 354 to 796 of the family's 1533-position model. The record is from RNAcentral.
GUAAGGAAUAUUGCGCAAUGGACGAAAGUCUGACGCAGCGACGCCGCGUGGGGGAUGAAGGUCUUCGGAUUGUAAACCCCUUUCGGCAGGGAAGAUGGAACGGGUAACCGUUCGGACGGUACCUGCAGAAGCAGCCACGGCUAACUUCGUGCCAGCAGCCGCGGUAAUACGAAGGUGGCAAGCGUUGUUCGGAUUCACUGGGCGUACAGGGAGCGUAGGCGGUUGAGUAAGCCCUCCGUGAAAUCUCCGGGCCUAACCCGGAAAGUGCAGAGGGGACUGCUCGGCUAGAGGAUGGGAGAGGAGCGCGGAAUUCCCGGUGUAGCGGUGAAAUGCGUAGAGAUCGGGAGGAAGGCCGGUGGCGAAGGCGGCGCUCUGGAACAUUUCUGACGCUGAGGCUCGAAAGCGUGGGGAGCAAACAGGAUUAGAAACCCCUGUAGUCC